UUGCCUGGAUAUUAAAUGAAAGCUUCCUUUGCUACAAUUUCCACUGAUGUUUGUGGAUGAUUACUAUUUACACUUAUCACAUGUAAGGAAUCACUUGGACAGCUAAAAACUGUACCAGCACACACUGAACAGUGAGGAAAGAUGGAAGCUGUGCUUGGAUUGAUGAUUAUUCUACUGGGAGUUGCUCAUGUGCAUGAAUAUACAAGUACAACUUCAAAACCGGACGCCAACGUUUUCACUCGCCUCUGAGGCUGAUUACUAACACAUUGGAGUCCAUUCAGAGCACCACACCCACCUUUGUUUUUGAGGGAAAAGCUGCUAACUUGAUCAACACAGGCUGAACAGACAUGGAAGCUGCAGUUGGACUGUUGCUGGUGUUGCUUAGAGUCUCUCAUGGUGUGAAAACUCACUGUGAUGGCAGACAGGAUGGAGCUCAGUGUUAUGGAGCUUUGGGAGGAACUGUGGACAUCCAGCUGAUGGACAGCACCUCAGAAAUACCUAGAUACUACUUGUUAAAGGAUUCAUUAAAAAUACUAAAUGUCAGAAAUAAUAAGGUUCUUUCUAAUACCACAGAACGCAGGUCUCUCUUUUUUUCCAGUAAUAGAACAUUUAGGAUCAAUAACCUGAGCAGGACAGACAGUGGUAAAUAUACCCUUCAAACCUUUGAUUCAGAUGGACAUUCAUCAGGCGUGCGGACUUUACAGUUGUUUUUUCAAGCUCCUGUGUCCUCUGUCCUGCUGGUCUCUGAGUGUCUGUCCCAGGGAGAGAUGAGGGUGUCCUGCUCCUCUGAGGGAGGGGACAGUCCUCAGUACAGCUGGACUCUGGAUGGACACACACUGACAGAUGCUGAGCUCCUUUCUGUAAAUAAUAAGACUAACAUCAUCACUCUGAAACAGCACGUCUCAGGACGUCUGGUCUGCUCAGUCAGGAACAACGUCAGUAAUGUCCCCAAAGAAGAGAUGAUAUCUACCUGUGGCUUUAUUUUCAUUAACUGUACUUUAGUCAAUGGGACAAAGAUAUCAGAGUGGGUGUAUGAAGCUAAUAACACCCUGUGUACUCAACCAAAACAGACUUCGAUGGGUAAAGACUAUGGAACUACCAUCAGUGAUGAACCAUGGUACAUUAGGAAUUUGCCACUGAUAGGUGGUGUUCUCUCAGCGCUGGUAAUUUUCUUGGUUGUUGGUGUAGCAGUCAUAUGUGCUCGGAGGAAAAAGCAAAACAGCAAACCUACAAAAAAGGAGGAAGAAGAUGACCAGGAAGUCUUUCCUGAUGCCAAGUUUGUCAAAAGGCCGGCAAACCAAGCUGAGAAAAAAGUGGCGGUGGAGUACGGCCAAGUCAAGUCUGCAAAGCGACCUCGGAGGCCUGAACCAACAGGAACUGAUUGUGUGUAUGCUAACGUCCACAAAGUCAGGUGAUGAAGUGCUCAGUGCUUUUAGACAGACAGCUCCACUGAAGGUAGUUGGAGUGAGGAGCUGAUGUUAAGAUAUUCCUAAAGGUCCUUGAUUUAAUGUAAUUUCCCAGCAUAAAAAUACAAACCAUAGCUUAUAAAUGUUAAUUUACUGGCUUAUUUAACUUUUAAUGCACUGCUGUAUUAUAUCAGGUUAUUAACACAUCUGUUGUUAUAUGACCUCUUGAUUUAAUUACAAAACACUGAGUGUUUUCUGCAUCUGUACUCUGUGGAAGCCAUAUAUAACACAGGUUAUGACUGCUAUUUAGGACGCUUUCUCUUUUAACUUGACUAGUUUUUCACUUGGUAAAGGUUCGACUAAUGUGUAAAUAGAGACAUGAUAAAGAGAAAGCACUUCAUCCUUUAUGAAAAUAUGACUGCAUAAAGUCAUAAAGCUUCUUUUGAACCAUACAUGUUAUGUAAAAAAAAAAAACAUUACUGGCUUUUAAUAUAUUUUUGCUUUUGCAAAGAUAUGCUUUAACAAUGUACUUGUAUAAUAUAAAUUGGAUAUAUAUACCCCUGAGAGUGAGUACAUAGUAGUGAUGGACAAGUAGAGGAAAAAGGCUGUAGUGACAGAUGUGGCUAUACCAAGUGAAUGCAACAUCAGGAAGAAGGAACACAAGAAGAUCGAGAAAUACCAAGGGCUGAAAGAGGAGCUAGAGAAGAUGUGGAAGGUUAGGCCAACAGUGGUCCCAGUUGUAAUUGGAGCACUUGGAGCUGUGACUCCCAAAAUGGGCAAGCGGCUCAGAGAUUCCAGGAACAACAUCCAAGAUCUGUGUCCAGAAGAGCACAGUCCUAGGAACAGCAAAGAGACUGCACAGGACCCUCAAGCUCCCACACCUCUGGCAGAAGACCCCAGCUGAAAAAAUAGAGACCACCCACAGAUUGAGUGUGGAAUUUAUAUACAGGGAGUUCAGAAUUAUUAGGCAAAUGAGUAUUUUGUCCACAUCAUCCUCUUCAUGCAUGUUGUCUUACUCCAAGCUGUAUAGGCUCGAAAGCCUACUACCAAUUAAGCAUAUUAGGUGAUGUGCAUCUCUGUAAUGAGAAGGGGUGUGGUCUAAUGACAUCAACACCCUAUAUCAGGUGUGCAUAAUUAUUAGGCAACUUCCUUUCCUUUGGCAAAAUGGGUCAAAAGAAGGACUUGACAGGCUCAGAAAAGUCAAAAAUAGUGAGAUAUCUUGCAGAGGGAUGCAGCAGUCUUAAAAUUGCAAAGCUUCUGAAGCGUGAUCAUCGAACAAUCAAGCGUUUCAUUCAAAAUAGUCAACAGGGUUGCAAGAAGCGUGUGGAAAAACCAAGGCGCAAAAUAACUGCC
Oreochromis aureus is the source of this 2759-nucleotide long non-coding RNA. NCBI's taxonomy places the organism in Eukaryota, Metazoa, Chordata, Actinopteri, Cichliformes, Cichlidae. The record is from Ensembl.